GAGCAGAGUGGAGUAAUCCAGUCAUUUGUAAUUACCGUCCAUAACCUUUUUGUUCUCGUCUGAUAUAUGAGGAAUGCUUCUCUGCAUACCAGUGGCGUUCGGUGACGAUUAAGAUUAGGGAGGACGAUUAUUUCUACGACAGCCUAUUGGAUGACUGUUAUUCAUACUCCAUUCACCCAGUUCAAUGUAACAUGGAUAGGUUUAGGCUACAACAUGAUACUAGAAUGUUCCCUGUAGCCCAUCAUGAGGUCGCUACAACCUAGCCUCUAAAUGGGGAGGCAGGUAGCCCAGUGGUUAGAGUGUUGGACUAGUAACCGAAAGAUCGAAUCCCUGAGCCGACAAGGUAAGAAUCUGUUGUUCUGUCCCUGAACAAGGCAGUUAACCCACCGUUCCUAGGUUGUCAUUGAAAAUUAAAGUUUACAACGCAAGUGCACACAAGUUUGAGAGAAACAUUAGAGUAAUCAAGGUGACAGACAAUGACACAUUCAACACCACCUUGUGCACUCUUGCCUGCAUCUAGCUGAUCUAGGGUGUAGUCAUUAGUCUAGCAGUUUCAAACAAGUGUUUCUGUUGGAUAAAUUCAGGUAUGUUAAUCCCUGUUCUGUUUGCUUCCAUCAAAGAAACAUUUUUUUCAACAGAAUCUGCUAAAUUAAUACACCCCUGGUCACUUUCAUAGCAGCCACAUACUAACAGCUCAUUGUAUUUAUUUGUUUUACCUUGAUUUAACAAGGCAAGUCAGUUAAGAACAAACUCUUAUUUUCAAUGACGUCCUAGGAACAGUGGGUUAACUGCCUCGUUCAGGGGCAGAACAACAGAUUAGUAACUUGUCAGCUCAGGGAUUUGAACUUGCAACCUUCCGGUUACUAGUCCAACACUCUAACCACUAGGCUACCCUUCCUUUUCGCAACAAUCUACGCAUUCUCCUCCAUUCACCUUUCCCCUCCGCUUGUGUACUUCAGUGCACAAACCCGUCAGCUUGUGACAAGGCGAAAAAACCUUUCCAAGCCAAACUUUCAUAUCAUGACCGCUAACCGCUAAACACAGCCUACAUUGUUAUCACGUCAUAGACCAUCA
Long non-coding RNA from Oncorhynchus tshawytscha (Chinook salmon), 1074 nucleotides. Lineage: Eukaryota; Metazoa; Chordata; Actinopteri; Salmoniformes; Salmonidae. The record is from Ensembl.